GUCUCUUUGUAGUAGUUAGUAUAAAGAGUCGAACCUGCCCGGUGACUAAGUGUUAAACGGCCGCGGUACCCUAACCGUGCAAAGGUAGCAUAAUCAUUUGCCUUUUAAUUGGAGGCUGGUAUGAAUGGUUUGACGAGAGCUAAACUGUCUCUCUUAUGAAAUAAAUAGAAUUUAACUUUCAGGUGAAGAGGCCUGAAUGUGCUUGAGGGACAAGAAGACCCUGUUGAGCUUUAGUGAGCUUGAGAAUAUUAGAUAUUAUUUAUUAUUUAGGUAAGUUUGUAAUUUUAUAGAUUUAUUUCUUAAGUAAUCUUUAGUUGGGGCGACUGAGGAAUAGAAAAAGCUUCCUUUAUUGUUAAAUUAAAUAUAAAAAUAGUUUGUAGUAAUUUUAUCUAAAUAAAUGUGAUCCAGAAUUUUUGAUCAAAGGAAAAAGUUACCACAGGGAUAACAGCGUAAUCUUUCUGGAGAGAUCUAAUCGAAAGAAGGGUUUGCGACCUCGAUGUUGGACUAAGGUAUCCUAAGGGUGUAGAAGCUCUUAAAGGUUGGUCUGUUCGACCAUUAAAACCUU
Molecule: ribosomal RNA, 565 nt
Rfam family: Bacterial large subunit ribosomal RNA